Molecule: long non-coding RNA, 6803 nt
Organism: Astatotilapia calliptera (eastern happy)
Lineage: Eukaryota; Metazoa; Chordata; Actinopteri; Cichliformes; Cichlidae
Source: Ensembl
CCUCCGACAGCGAAGAAGAAGUGGCGGAGUAAAAGAAGAAGAAGGGAGCGCAGAGCUGGAGUUAGCAGGGUGUCAUCGAGGUCUGUUGCCAUGGAGGACCAUGCUGACGUUGCCAUGGAGAACAAGACAGAGGUCCCAGCCUCCGACGCCCCGUCCUCUCCUGACAAAGAGCCGGCAAAGCCCGCUGCGCGUCAGCCACACCGCCGCACCUUAGGGAGGAGGGGCCAGAGAGCAAAAAGGCGGGGUCAUAUAGAGAAAAAGCGGGGUCAGAAAUCGAAGAGGCGGGGCCAGGAGGACAAGAAGGAGGGCGUGACGGUGAAGAGGACGUGGAGCGGCGGGAAGCGCCGUUGGGACAAGAAGCAUUACUGCGUGUUCUGCCGACGGCCACAGGUGAAGAUCGCACGCCACCUGCUGAGGAAGCAUGCCGACGAACAGGAAGUACUGGCUGCCAGCACCCUGCCGACAGGCUCCAAAGAACGCCACCUGCUGCUGGAGCACCUGCGCUGCCGAGGCAACUAUCUACACAACAUCGAGGUGAUCCGGCAGGGCACUGGUGAGAUUGUGCCAUGGCGUCAGCCCUCUGAGGAUGUGGAUGCGAGGAACUACCUGCCAUGCCCAUUGUGUCUUGGAUUUUUCCUUCGUGCUGACCUGUGGAAGCAUCAGGUGUCGUGUCGCAAGAAGCUCGCCAUCAACCCGUCCAAAGCCGAGGCAAACGCUGACCCCGCCAACGACGCCACCUCUGGUUCCACAAGUAAGUUGCCCUGUGAUGUCACCAGAGAGGACAUACCUGAGGAUUCCCUUGGUGAGACUGCAGAGACCGGGACCAAACAGCUUAUGACCUCUGACCCAAGUGUCGAUCAGAACACAACCUCUGACCCCGCUGUGAACCGAGCCAGGAAACGGACCAGAGUGCAGGCAGCAGCAUCGCGGCUCCUGCCGAUCUCCAGUGGAGCGUCUGAGAGCUGCAGUGAAAUCCUGCAUCGCAUGAACCAAGAUAAUGUGUCUUACGAGGUGAAGUCUGAUUGGCUGAUCUGUAAGUAUGGCAACAAGCUGAUGGGGAACCAGGAUAGUGGUCAGAGGAGGUACGACUACGUAAGCCAGAAGCUCCGGGAACUUGGCAGGUUGCUCCUGGCCGCUAAAUCCCUUGACUCCGGCGUCCAGAGCCUUCAGGACCUGCUGGCCCCAGGUCGCCUCAGCUUGGCGCUGUCCGCGGCCAGGAAGGCAGCGGGAAACAGGUGGAGCCGCCCUCCACUGGCGGUGAAAACAACACUAAAGACAGUCUGUGAGAUUGCUAUCGGAGAGAGCCUGCAGGACGGAGACUGGGAGGCUGCCGCCAAGACCACCGACUUCUACCACAUGCUGGGCCGGGAGUGGGACAACCUGGGCCUGCAGAACCCAGAUCCAGCUGCUACAGAUGGAGGAACUAAACCAAAGAAACGACCUGUCCAGAUAAGACUGGACAACGACCUCAGACAAGAAGUUCUGUCAAAGAGCUCUAACAAACCAGUGACCUCUGCGAUUCCACCUGAAGCCAGAAUGCAAACAUCUGUCUCAGUCCCUGUGGCUCCCAGGAAGGUCCGACGGCGGCCGUGGUCCUCUGCAGAGAAGGAGGCCAUCUGGAGGCAAUUAGGAGUCCAUGUUCUGGUCCAGUCCGUACCAGGUAAGGAGGUCUGUCAGCGCUGUCUGGACUUAGAACCAGUCCUCAGGGGGCGGCACUGGAAGGACAUCAAGAACCAGGUUCACAACCAAAUCCAGAGCCAAAAGAAGCAGCAGUUCCACGCUCAGAUGGAACUCGAGAAGAACCAGGAUCACCAAGACCAGCUCCAGAACCAGAAAAAGCCAGAGCAGCAGCAGUACCAGCCUCCAGUCGAUGAACAGGUAAAAGACCACCGUCUGAACCAGAAGAAACCACUAUACCAGUCCCAGAUGGACCAACAUGAUCCGGAUAUUUCUCGGAAUCAGAAGAGAUCACAAUACCACAUCGGCAUACACCACCAGGCCCAGGAUAGCAUCCAGAACCAGAAGAAACAACAGGAGCACGCCCAGCUGGAUCACCAGGACUAUCUACACAACCACAAGAAGCAGCUGUGUACCCCUAGAGUGGACCACCAGGACCACAGCCAGGUCCAUAAGAAGCAGCUGUAUCAGAUGGACCAGCAGGCCCAGCCCCUGCAGACCCUGGACCAGGAAACGUCUCUUCUAACCAUCACAACCUACAGACCUGAUGGGUCAAAUCGAGCUCCUGGACAUUUGCUGCUUGAGCGGGAGCACAACAUUACAACCUACCCAGUUCUGCACAGACCACCGGGACCUCACAUGGACCAGCUGCUGCCCAGAAUAGACUGGGCCGAGGAUGCUCCAGCCCCGAACUAUCCUAUCAGCAGGCCACUGGGCAGGACCCUGCUACAGGAUGUGCCCCCAGGAGGACCACCCUCUGACCCACAGUCGGGACAUGUACACUUCUGACCGGUCCAGGUCUAGAGGACUUAAUGAUAGGUUGGCCCUUCUCAAAGGGUGCAUAUCAGAUUUGGUAGUAAAAAGACCUGCUUUUAUGAUAACACAUGUAAACCUUUCUUAGAAGGUCCUUGGAUUUCCUGUGUGAAAUUAGUAUUUGCCUCCUACAGGACUAUAUACCCUAUACUAUAUACCCCCCCCCCCUCCCCCGUAUGUUCUGGCAGUUCCAAUGGGUCUGGUUCUGAUAUGUCAGUCUGGUCAGGAGAUGAACCUGGAUCCUGGUUGAGGUGCUGUUAGAUAGGUGAAACAGUUCAGCUGUGAUGUACCUGAGUUAUACCGACUACGUGCCAGUGCCUGAUCUUAUUAUAAAAGGCGGGUACCAAAAACCAAAACCAGCACCUUAGUGGUCCAGUGUUGGAGCCUUUGAUGUUACCUGUUCUGGGAGGAGCUCCUGCUGAAAGAUCACAGAUGGUAGCGUCAGUCGUCAGAUACUGUCUUCCAUAAUCAGAAUUUGCCCCAAAUGUAUCUUCAUAGGAAGAUUCAUAUGAACCAGCCCACAGCUCUACGUCUUAAACCUGUAGAACGGUGGGCUGGUUCUCUGAAGACGCUGAGGCAGAACCAGCUCUGUGUGAAAGAGCUAAUGAAGGGAUCAAGGCCCUUUGCCCUCAUUUAACCAUAAAGGUGUUUAAAGUUCUCUGUAUGUUUAGUAUAUGGUUCUCCUCACACUCCUCUGUGUGAUGAGCACUGGGGCACAACCCCUGACAGAGAGGCCAAACAGGUGGUUCUAAACGGUUCCUGCAGGUCCCUGGGAGUCCUGGUCUGUGGUGGUCCUGUGAUGGUACCACUGCAUCCUAAAAAUAGCAAGUUGUCAUGUCACAGGCUUAUUCCAGAAAGGAUGACAUUCAUUUUGACCUCAGUAUUCUACACACAGUACUGAAGAAGCUUCUCGGAUGAGAGGUGAAACGUCUUCAAGUAACUUAAAGAAGUCCAGACGCCUUUCUUUGCAAGCUCCUUUGACUACACACAGUACUCCAAAUCAAAAUUCUUAAAUGUUUAUUAAAACAUUUAAGAGAAAAAUAUAACACAUGCACAGGUAUUCUCAGCCUUUGUUAAAAUAUGUUGUUCAAGCACUUUUUGUCCGCAGUUACAGAAGAUCAGUGUUGGGCAGGGUUUUAAUAGUUUUGCACGCACACAUCAAUGAAAACUAAACACACUUUUGCUAUAAAGUCAGUUAAUUUUAGUUUUGUGAACACUCAUUACAGUUGUAGUUAUUUUCCUUUUUAUUUUUAUUUCCGCUAACGAAAAUGUUUUUUCACUUCUAGUUUUCGUUAACGAUAAUGACCUUGGUGUUGGGAAGGUUACUUUUAAAACGUAUUCCAUUACAGAUUACAGAUUACAUGCCCCAAAAUGUAUUUUGUAACAUAUUCCAUUACGUAGCUCAAUGAGAGUAACGUAUUCUGAAUACUUUGGAUUACUUAAUAUAUUAUCAUGCUUUUUACAACUAUGUGAAUGUACUAUUGCUGUGUGAUUUAUUACUAUUACUGAAGGUCCGCGACUAUUUACGGAUGAGAAGUAAAAAAGAGCCGCUAGGUGCUAAAAAAUAAAGCUUAGACUCAGACGUUAGAACAGGCUUCUCCCCGCAGCACGCCGUGUAAUAAAUACUCACAAAGAAAACGGCAGUCGUUACAACUUAUGUCUAAAAAUGCAUCAUUUCACGCAUCGUUAAAACACUCGACUCCGGGUAAAGGACGCGCAGCUGGAAACACUUCACGCAAGUCGAGCUGCCCGAGAUUCACAGAAUUUACAGAAAAUGUUACAUUUUUGUGAUUUAUAUCCUUAUCGGACGAUAGAAUUCUUAUAUCGGGAUAUGAGAUUUUGGUCAUAUCACACAUAUCUGACUAAUGCGUGUUCCGUGUCGGCUCGUAGCCAAAAAAAUAGCUUUACUUUGUUGUGUGGGUCAACUUUUCUUGCGAGAGACAGAGAGAGGCGUUGAAAGGCUGCUCCAACAGAACUUAUUGUUUUCGGAGGAAAACACGAACACAAUGUACAGUCGAGUCUUAACAGCUUACUUACAGCUGGGCUCAUCAGGCUCUCUUCUUGGCUGAAGUGGUUAUUAUUAUAUUUACAUGCUUCCAGCUCCCGUUUUUGCUCAAUGACAACUCGUACUUUUCCUUUUUCUCCCUCCUCGCGCUCACAGACACAUAACGGGUAUGGCAGUCCAUUCUCCCUGCAGCACGGACUACACUGCCCAUGAUGCUACAUUCUUUAGAGCUAUACCUGUAGCAUUAUGCCUGUUAGCUUAGCACAACAACAACAACAACAAAAAGGCGCUCUCUCACCCAGGAAACACACAGUCGCAGAGAGAGAGCGUCGCCCUGUAACCAUGGCAACCGUAACGCCUGGAACAACAGAACGUAGCUGUCAAACAAAACCAAACAGUCCUGACCCGCGACAAAAUGAAACAGGAAAGUACCGCAGUGUAAUCCAUUUAUUUCAACAAAGUAACUGUAUUCUGAAUACCACCUUUUUAAACGGUAACUGUAACGGAAUACAGUUACUCAUAUUUUGUAUUUUAAAUACGUAACGGCGGUACAUGUAUGCCGUUACUCCCCAACACUGCAGAAGAUGAACCUUCGCCCAAGCUCGAUGUCCAGCACACUUUUGGACCAGGUUAUGUCUCAUUCGUCUUUUCCUUCAGAGAGUCCUUCACAGGCCUUUGGGCAAACUCCAGGUGGGCUGUCGUAGCUGGUUUCCUUUAGCACCUACUCGCCUGAGCCCGCCUCUGUUUGUGUCGUGCUCUAUUACAUUUGAGUUUCACCUCAAUAUGUGUGGGGUUGUCAUGGGAACACAACCAACAUCCCAUGUGUCUAUGUGCCACAAACACAAUGGAUGACAUUGAGGCGAUGGUAUACCCGCUGCUUGGUCUGUGGGUGUUUGUCAGACUCGAGCACCAUGAUGUCAGUUUGUAGGUAACCCUUGUUGCCGAGUUUCAGAAAUGCCAGGUUUCAUCUAACUCGUGAUUCAUCUAAUGACACCGCUGGCUGGCCAAUUGGGGGCUUUUGAUGUCACAUUUUUAGACUGACUCUGCUCGGUUGGAAAGCCAGGCCAGCAUUUGCUAAAAAAGUACCUGGUACCAGGUACUACUCCCUGAUGGAAAGCCCUAGAAACUAGGUUGAGCUCAGCCGAGUAGGUACUAGAUGAGAGGCGCAGAAGAUUGCCCAGAUUGCAGACAUUACUGACAGACGAUCAGUGUGCACAGCUAAACAAACAUGAGUGUCGGGGCUGUGAGUACUUGUGUCCAUCUUAUACUUUAACAUGGACAGUCAGCUGACUGUGCAGAGGUGAAAAUGAAUGUCAUGGAAUAAGGCUGUAACGUGACAACACGAGGAACACUGAAUGCUUCCAGGAUGAUGUGCAGAGAUCAUCUAUGAUGUUUCUGUGUCUCCUGCUCGUCUCCCUUUAAUCUGUCUUCAUCCACCCCUCAGUGUUCCUGCUGUCCUCUCGUCUUGAUGUCCCUGCAGCUCCACUUUAUCACCACUAGAUGGCAGACUUCUCCCUGUUUUUGGUCCCUGUUAGAGGAUAAGAACAUGUUCCAGUCCAGACUGCAAGCUGCUGCUUUUUCCUCCACAUGUCGCAUUUCUGAUGUCCUGUAGAGUCGCUGAUCCACAGGUGAUCGAUCCACAGCUGUGUCCUGCAGGAGGAGCACCAGCUCAGACACUGGAUGGCAGCAGGAGGCUCUGUGUGUGUUUAAUGUGUAAUAAAAGUGUCUGUAACUGUCCGGUGAUGGAGCCCUGUCACGCUCGGUCCUUUUAUUUCAUUAUAUCUGUUUCAAUAAACGCGUCCCCGCUCUGUGACGGUUCAGACUCGUGUUCUUCAGGAGCUGUAACUGUUAAGAGUUAAAGGUCCCACCUGCACAGGUUAGGAUGAUGUGCGGAGCACAUGGAGACACAGAGGCUUUUAUUUAUGCACAGGAAACAGAAUUGUGUUAUUCAUUAUGAUGAGGAUGAUGAUGGUGUGGCAUUAAGAAACAUGCAGAAUAAUCAUGAUAAGACCAAGUUUCCACAGAGACGAGGUCUGCGUUUGGACCUCAGCACGGCUGUGAUAGAAGAAAGUUGGGUUUAAGUCACUGCAGCAUAAACACAUCAUAAAUAAACUGUGUUAAUAAAGCAGAACACGAGGACCUGUCUGCUCUACUGUGAAGUCGAUCUGCAGGUUCAAACACACCUGAGCUACUCCCAGAGAGGAUCCAGCCAAUCAUGUUUCUGGUUUGUGAUUGGCUGAGCGGUCGACAGCCGCCGUGGUUAAACAGACUCGGUCUGUCUGGACUUGCAUCAUCCUCUCAGCUGUCA